RNA transcript from Pararge aegeria (speckled wood butterfly), 2393 nucleotides. It is a transcript of the gene named myelin expression factor 2, with no coding region annotated. The transcript has 14 exons. The record is from RefSeq and is a predicted model, not a curated record. NCBI's taxonomy places the organism in Eukaryota, Metazoa, Arthropoda, Insecta, Lepidoptera, Nymphalidae.
CCAACCGGCUCCAGGCUCAGCUUAACUGAACCGCCAUUUUGUAGAAAGAUAACUUGCGAAAAAUAGUGAGAAACCAAGAGUUUGAUUCUAUUGAUUGUUCAGUGUUCUGCAUAAUUGACAUAAUUUAACAUAGCGAAUUGUAAAACGAGAUGAUGGACAACCAAAGAGAAAAGGAAAGAGAUCGCUCCAGGCGCGGAGACCGACCUUCCAGGUUCUCCGACGCCACACGUGACCGUUCUGGAGACCGAGACAGGUCUGAAGGAAAGCGGUUAUUUGUUUCUAACAUACCGUAUGAGUUUCGUUGGACCGAAUUGAAGGAUUUAUUUAAAGACAAGGUAGGUGAUGUAGCUUAUGUUGAAUUAUUUAAUGAUGAAAAUGGAAAACCAAGGGGAUGUGGUGUGGUUGAAUUUGCAAACUCUGAAGCUAUGAAGAAAGCUCUUUUUGUUAUGCACAGAUAUGAACUUAAUGGGAGGAAACUUGUUUUAAAAGAAGAAACUGGUAAUGAAAGAAACAGAUUGAAUAACCCCAGGCAAGGAGGAGGAGGAGGUGGAGGUGGUGGUGGCGGUGGUGGUGGCGGCGGCGGUGGUGGACGGAACAUGAGAGAUGAUAAAGAUGGUUGGGGAGGGAACAAACCAAGAGAACCAGAAAACUAUAACACAUAUGGUUUGAGUCUACAGUUUUUGGAGUCUAUAAAUGUGUCACCACCUUUAGUCAAGAAAGUAUUUGUCGCAAAUCUUGACUACAAAGCAGAUCGCUCUAAAAUAAAGGAGGUGUUCAAAAUGGCGGGAAAAGUACGCAAUAUUGACUUAGCUGUUGACAAAGACGGCAAUAGCAGAGGAUUUGCUGUUAUUGAAUAUGACCAUCCUGUUGAAGCUGUACAGGCAAUAUCAAUGUUUGAUAAGCAGAUGCUAUUUGAUCGCAGAAUGACAGUCCGUAUGGACAGGGGCAUGACAGAUAAGACUGAACUAAGAUUGCCUGAAGGUCUCAAAGGCAUCGGCAUAGGGCUGGGACCCAAUGGGGAACCGUUGAGAGAUGUGGCUAGGAAUUUGCCCCAGAAUACAACUCCCAAUACACUGAACUUAGCAACUGCUGGAUCAUCGAUGGGUGCAGGAGUUUUAGGCGCUAUUCCUACGGGUGGUGUAGCUUUAAAUGGCCUUGGUUCAAGUUUAGGUGCCAACACACUGACCACAAAUGCAGCACUUAGCAACAGUUUAAGCUUGCAGGCCUUAGGGCUCACGGGUCUAGGAGCCCUACAGAACCAGCUGUUGCAGCAGGGUCUUACCGCCAAUGAUCUUGCCAAUGUGUUGUCGCAAGCUCAAGUUGCAAACAGUAAUACUAUGGGCCUCAAUACGUCAGAUGUUGGGAAUGUGCUAGGAAACAACAGCCACAGCAACAACGUUAUGGGAGUGGGACCGAAUACAAGUAUGAGCAGUGGACCACUAUCAGGGCCUAAUCGUCAACUAGGUGGAUCCUCGGUGUCGGGGCAGGGAUACGGCCGGGACCCGGGAGUUCAACAAAACAACAACCGGGACAAGCAACCAUCUGAUAUGGUUAUGAUCACAAAUCUUCCUCCAACAGUCACAUGGCAAUUAAUUCGUGAAAAGUUCAGCGAAUGCGGCGACGUGAAGUUCGCGGAAAUGACAGCGACAGAUACUGCCAUCGUGAGAUUCCAUAAAGAAUGGGAUGCCGAGAGAGCAGUCAAAAUGUUUGACAGGACCCGUAUUGACGGCAGGACAAUAGAUGUUCGAUUCUUUUAAGAGAAGCUUGCAGUAAAAAUACCUACAGAGUAAAUUCAAAUGAUACAAUGGAAAUAUUAUCGAUAACAGUCAAGCGGCACAUUAUUGAAAAGGAUAAACUAGGAUGUAUCUCAACUUCAGAGAGUUUAUGGUAAAAUACACUUACCGAAAAUUGUUGAUAAAAUCAAUAGUAAAUAGACUUCGUGAUUACAGGUGCAUUACGCUGUUUAUAUUGGGAAGGGAAACCAAAGAGUCGAAAACGAGUUUACAAUUAUAUAAAAGAAGCAAGAAGUGCAAUCAGAUAAUAUUAACAUUGACGUAAUAUAUCGUCCACAAUUGAGUAUUCACGACUAAAGUUGGAUUUAACCAAACUAACUGGCGGACGUUAUCAUAUAAUUACCUAAAAUUGCAGUUUUUAUGUUAACAUAUUGAUUGCUUGUACUUUGUCAAAAAGUUUUAAACCUAAAGCCUUCACAUGAUGUUACGUCAGACAGCCAUCAGAAGCCUAUGGGAUUCAUACAUUUUGUAAAAGGCCCGCAAACGAGACCAACGUGAGAAGAACAAAGUAACACCGAAGACGCAUGAGGGAAUUAUUUCUUUGUAUAUGUGUAUUAUAAUAAUAAUUUAUGGAGGUAUAAAUAAAAUGCAUUUUAACCG